Molecule: ribosomal RNA, 460 nt
Filed under: uncultured bacterium
Lineage: Bacteria
Description: partial 16S ribosomal RNA
Rfam family: Bacterial small subunit ribosomal RNA
Source: RNAcentral
CCUACGGGAGGCAGCAGUGAGGAAUAUUGGUCAAUGGGCGGAAGCCUGAACCAGCCAAGUAGCGUGCAGGAUGACGGCCCUACGGGUUGUAAACUGCUUUUAUACGGGAAUAACGCGCCUUCCGUGUAGGGCUUUGCAUGUACCGUAUGAAUAAGGACCGGCUACUUCCGUGCCAGCAGCCGCGUUAAGACGGAAGGUCCGGGCGUUAUCCGGAUUUAUUGGGUUUAAGGGGGGCGUAGGGCGCAUGUCAAUCGGGCUGUGAAAUGCCCGGGCUCAACCCGGGCCUUGCAGCGCGAACUGGCGUGCUUGAGUGCGCGGAAAGCAGGCGGAAUUCGUCGUGUAGCGGUGAAAUGCAUAGAUAUGACGAAGAACCCCGAUUGCGAAGGCAGCUUGCUGCAGCGGAACUGACGCUGAUGCUCGAAAGCGCGGGUAUCGAACAGGAUUAGAUACCCUGGUAGUC